Molecule: small nuclear RNA, 191 nt
Organism: Manis pentadactyla (Chinese pangolin)
Lineage: Eukaryota; Metazoa; Chordata; Mammalia; Pholidota; Manidae
Product: U2 spliceosomal RNA
Exons: 1
Source: RefSeq, a predicted model, not a curated record
AUUGCUUUUCUGACUUUUGGCUAAGAUCAAGUGUAGUAUCUGUUCUUAUCAGUUUAAUAUCUGAUACGUCCUCUAUCCAAGGACAAUAUAUUAAAUGGAUUUUUGCGGCAGGGAGAAGCAAUAGGAGCUUGCUCCAUCCACUCCGUGCAUCGACCUGGUAUUGCAGUACUUCUGGGAAUGGUGCUGCACCC